CACGUAGGGCGCAAGCGUUGUCCGGAAUUAUUGGGCGUAAAGAGCUCGUAGGCGGUCUGUUGCGUCCGCUGUGAAAACUCGGGGCUUAACCCCGAGCCUGCAGUGGAUACGGGCAGACUAGAGGUAGGUAGGGGAGAAUGGAAUUCCCCGGUGUAGCGGUGAAAUGCGCAGAUAUCGGAAGGAACACCAGUGGCGAAAGCGGCUUCCUGGUCCAGCACCGACGUUCAGGCACGAAAGCGUGGGGAGCAAACAGG
Molecule: ribosomal RNA, 254 nt
Filed under: uncultured bacterium
Lineage: Bacteria
Description: partial 16S ribosomal RNA
Rfam family: Bacterial small subunit ribosomal RNA
Source: RNAcentral